Ostrea edulis (European flat oyster) is the source of this 336-nucleotide long non-coding RNA. RefSeq lists it as uncharacterized. The transcript has 3 exons. The record is from RefSeq and is a predicted model, not a curated record. Lineage: Eukaryota; Metazoa; Mollusca; Bivalvia; Ostreida; Ostreidae.
AACAGGCAUUUACCCAUACUACAUCUGUACGAGUAUAACACCGACCAUUUUAGUCAGACUGAACCCUGAUCCAUAAUCAGGGUUUUUUCAAGUUCUUCAUUUCAAGGGCCUGGGCCCUUCUAUUGGGAAAAAUAGCAACAUUUGCUAGAAAUUGGGGACAUUGUUCCAUACAAAAAGAAAUGGUGAAUUUUCUUUCUAUGUGACCAGUCCAAAUGAAACCCUGAUUACAAGAGUGGAUGUGCUAAUCAUAUUGCAGUGUUAACAUCCGAGCAUCACGGGGGAGGAGACCCCGCCCUCCUUAUAAAACACCUGUAUCACAAAACUUUUACAACUGAA